Long non-coding RNA from Pseudophryne corroboree (corroboree frog), 287 nucleotides. RefSeq lists it as uncharacterized. The transcript has 2 exons. NCBI's taxonomy places the organism in Eukaryota, Metazoa, Chordata, Amphibia, Anura, Myobatrachidae. The record is from RefSeq and is a predicted model, not a curated record.
CACUGCCGAAAUGCGUCGCCUGGGUGGGGAUGAUGGAGCCGCAGAUUCCGUGCCAAGACGCCGUGUCUUACUUGGCCUCCUGGAAUAUGUGACUACAGUGAAGUCUUACCUGCAAUCCCAGCCUCAUCCUGACUUGUCUGAGGCCUGUCUGGCCGGCUGGUCUGUGGGACUGUUGAAAAAGUGGACCAAACAUUAUUACCAUGCUUUGUGUAAAAAUUAUAACUGCAAAGCCUUAGUGUACUGUAACCAUCUAUUAGGUAUUGGAUAAACAAAUAAUUUCUGAUUAA